Molecule: long non-coding RNA, 860 nt
Organism: Piliocolobus tephrosceles (Ugandan red Colobus)
Lineage: Eukaryota; Metazoa; Chordata; Mammalia; Primates; Cercopithecidae
Source: Ensembl
UUCCAUCAUUAUUACGUUUUCCAUCAUUAUUACGUUUUCCAUCAUUAUUACGUUUUCCAUCAUUAUUACGUUUUUUUUUUGUGGUUUUUUACUGAUAAUACCACCCAAAAGAUUUGUUACUUUACCUCCUGCAACAUUUUUAAAAUUAUUCAAUAGUUUUUUUGCAUGUUGUUUAGUUUUUUUCUUAAGAACUUCUUUGAGGUUUUCACCAUUAUCUAUAUUUUUAUUUUUUUUUGGAUUUAUUUGUGACUUAAAUGCACUUUCAACCGAAUCCGUUGAACCAACAUCAUCGUUAUUCUCAUCGUCAUCUUCAUUUUCAUCCUCAUCCUCUUCUACAUCUACAUCUACACUUUUAUCUUCAUCUGCAUCUAUAUCUAUAUUAUUAUCAUCAUUAUCACUGCUUGCUUCAGUAAACAAAUCUCCAAUUAAUCCAUAUUCUUCAUCAUUUUCAUCCUCUCCAAGCUUUUGCACAAAUGAAUUGUUAUGUGAUAUUUUAUCAGUUUCACUUUCAUCUAAAUAUGAUGUACUCAUAAUAAGGAUAUCUUUAUUAUCAGAUACAUCUGAAUCAUUAACUUCAUUUUUUUUUNNNNNNNNNNAAAAAAUGCAAAAGUACACGGUUUUACAGUAAAAAUUGAUAAAACGUUUGUUAACAAAUAGACCACUUAGGGGUUGAUAUAAUUCUCAUUGUUAAAAUGUAAGUGGUACUAAAAUGCAAGUGAUGCUAAAAUGCAAGUGAUGUUAAAAUGCAAGUUAUGUUAAAAUGUAAGUAAUAUUAAAAUGUAAGUUAUAUUAAAAUGUAAGUGAUAUUAAAAUGUAAAUUAUAUAUAAAAAAAAAAAAAAAAAAAAAAUAGAUAGAUAAA